AUUUGGGGGCAAAUAACCGGAGUAGGUUUGUUCCUGUGCCUUGGCGAGUCGCCGGUGCGUAUCGGAGUCUCUGCCAGCCAUUGAUUUCUACGGGUUUCAAGAAGAGGGAGAACAGGAUGGAGGAGAUGUUGGGCUGAUGGUGUUUGGUCCCCUGACACCCGGAGAACGGCUGCCCGGGUUAUCCCAGUUAAAUUCCUGGGCCUGAACGGAGUGAAACGAUGUUUUUGUUCGUGUGCAGUUGUCCAUGAGGCAGUGCUUCCUUCAUCCGUUUCCUCCCAGUCCAUACCUUCCUUGGCUUGUCUGACCAGUCUCUUUCCUCAGCUUUUCUCCCCCAGCCAUUGCAUAAAAGUCUUACGUGUGUGUUUCUCUUUAAGGCUUCAUUUCUUUUCCUGAGUGUUGCCUACUGAUAACGGCAUGCAUU
This 421-nucleotide long non-coding RNA is filed under the name Homo sapiens (human). RNAcentral describes it as "long non-coding RNA NONHSAT195325". Lineage: Eukaryota; Metazoa; Chordata; Mammalia; Primates; Hominidae. The record is from RNAcentral.